This 446-nucleotide ribosomal RNA is filed under the name uncultured bacterium. Its description in RNAcentral is "bacterial SSU rRNA". It matches the Rfam family "Bacterial small subunit ribosomal RNA", at positions 330 to 792 of the family's 1533-position model. The record is from RNAcentral.
UCCAGACUCCUACGGGAGGCAGCAGUGGGGGAUAUUGCACAAUGGGGGGAACCCUGAUGCAGCGACGCCGCGUGGGUGAAGGAGUGCUUCGGCAUGUAAAGCCCUAUCGGCAGGGAAGAAGCAAGACGGUACCUGACUAAGAAGCCCCGGCUAACUACGUGCCAGCAGCCGCGGUAAUACGUAGGGGGCGAGCGUUAUCCGGAUUCACUGGGUGUAAAGGGAGCGCAGACGGCAGUGCAAGUCUGGAGUGAAAGCCCGGGGCCCAACCCCGGAACUGCUCUGGAAACUGUGCGGCUAGAGUACUGGAGGGGCAGGCGGAAUUCCUAGUGUAGCGGUGAAAUGCGUAGAUAUUAGGAGGAACACCAGUGGCGAAGGCGGCCUGCUGGACUGCAACUGACGUUGAGGCUCGAAGGCGUGGGGAGCAAACAGGAUUAGAUACCCUAGUA